AGCGUCCUGCUCGUCCUCCGCGCACCUUCCGCUGGGCUCCGGAGCGCCGAUCCCUCCGGAUCACGGGGCCCAGAGUGAGCCUGGCCUGGUCCUCUGCUACCCGGCUGGACCCUGCUGGCCAGGUGCUUGAACCGAGCGGCGUUGUCUGUGUGUAACCGCCAACUUCGCGGGUCACCGGAGAGAGAGGCGCAAAGAUCUGGGCGGAAAAGGCCAAUGCUCGUAUUUUUUUUUAAAGACCCCACCCCCACCCCCUAAGUAUUAAACUACGGUUUGCUGUUUACACACUAGACCUUCAACGGGUUGGCUCACGGUUUUGAUUCAGGAACUUUAAAUAGGAUAAACUAGAGGAGACAAUAGUCUUCCCACCGGUUUUUGUUCCAUGUUCAUGAGGUCGAUUUAGAAACCGUUGUGUUUGCUCUUACUUUGUUCUCCAGAUUUCCAGAACGGCAGGUCUCACCAUGCAGGCCAGGCUGCUGACCUGGCGUUCACUGCGAUCAGGCUGAACCUAAACUCACAGAGAUCUGCCCACCUGCAGACUGCUCCAAUCACAGAGGUGGGUCAAGCCUAUCUAAGAUGUAACUUUUUUUUUUUUUAAUCAAAUAAAAGCAUGGAAUGAGAGUUUCCAUCAUAUCUUUGGUCA
RNAcentral lists this long non-coding RNA (640 nucleotides) under Mus musculus (house mouse). RNAcentral's name for it is "predicted gene, 42107, transcript variant 2 (Gm42107)". Lineage: Eukaryota; Metazoa; Chordata; Mammalia; Rodentia; Muridae. The record is from RNAcentral.